RNAcentral lists this ribosomal RNA (435 nucleotides) under uncultured bacterium. RNAcentral describes it as "partial 16S ribosomal RNA". It matches the Rfam family "Bacterial small subunit ribosomal RNA", at positions 29 to 508 of the family's 1533-position model. The record is from RNAcentral.
AGCGAACGCUGGCGGCCGGCCUAACACAUGCAAGUCGAGCGAACCUUUCGGGAUUAGUGGCGGACUGGUGAGUCACACGUCGGAUCAUGCCUUUUUGUUCGUAAUACCUCCGGGAGACUUGUGCUCAUACCGCAUGUGCCCUUCGGUCGGACUAUUUAUCGCCUUUCGGGCGGCCCGCCUCUGAUUAGCUAGUUGGUUGAUGUACUGGCUCACUAAGGCGACGAUCAGUAGCUGGUCUGAGAGGAUCAUCAGCCACAUGGGGACUGAGACACGGGCAAAAAGACUACGGGAGGCAGCAGGGGCGAAUCUUGCGAAAUGGGCGAAAGUCUGAAGCAGACAUGCAGCGUGAAUGAUGAAGGUCGUAGGAGUGGAAAAUUCUUUCACCGGGGACGAUAAUGACGGUACCCGGAGAAGAAGGCCCGGCUAACUUCGUGC